Molecule: non-coding RNA, 597 nt
Organism: Lolium perenne
Lineage: Eukaryota; Viridiplantae; Streptophyta; Magnoliopsida; Poales; Poaceae
Source: RefSeq, a predicted model, not a curated record
CAGAUUCUCGAAAAUCUGCGGGAUCUACUGAGAAGGAUGCUGCCUCUGAAGGUACAACAUCAGCACAAUCUCCUCCUCCUGCUGUUUCUCCGAAGAGCAAAAGGAAAAGGAGCAAUGGCGAAGAUUCCGGGACCUCGAAACCCGAAGAAACUGCUCCUUUACCUCGAAAAGCAGCUUAUGAUCCAUACGUCGAGAGUAUCAUCAGCUCGUAGGUUCCUUGCUCUUUUCCUUUUCUAUUUGAAGAAUUUUAUUUUGCCUUGCUUUUUAUGCUGCCACUAUUUUGUCACAGUGAUGAUGAAGAAACACCAACUUUAGAUGUGGCUGCUCGAACGAGCACGUCACAUACUUUAGUUAUUUCAGAAAAACCAGUUGAAGGGGAGGAAUCGUCGCCUCCUCAACAAAAUGUUGAUACAUCUACUCCUCCUUCGAGCCCCCGUGCCCCUUCACCAAAAAGGGCACGGGUUGAAAAGAUUGUUGAUCCUGCCCCUCAGUUGGGCAGUUCGUCGACUCUGCUCUUAGAUGAUCCAAUGAUCAAAGAGCUUCUUCGGAUCGGGUCCCAAUUUGUUGGGUACCGUGAAUAUGCCGCCAGAGCCGAAG